GAAUCAACCCAUUGCAGUAGUCGAGCACAUCAUAUGGAGCGUUUCGGAUGGCAACAGUCUAGAAUAUGACUCAACAAACCCAUCGCCAGCAAUGUAAUUACUGUCACCAUCAGAAUACGAGACAAAGUCCAUAAAGUAUUCAUUUCUAUUAGAAGGGUUUCCAGUACGGAACAAAAGGCCAGAUAGCUGGGAGGAUGCCCUCGAAAUUCUGGGAAUGCAAACAUCGGAAAUAAUAGUGCGUUCCAUAAUUUGCAUACACACUUGAAUCCAACCAGAGCCUUUAUGGGCAGUCGACAAAGAAUUUCAGUUAUGCAGUCUUCUGAUAAGUACUCUGUCAUAUGUUUUGUUUCCAUUUUCUAAGCUAAUCUAAUUCAAACCAAAUGAAAUUCCAUAAAUAAGCAACACAUCUGACAUAUAUAUAUAUAUAUAUAUAGAAACUGAGCAACAGAAGCUAACCUGCUAAAUAGAAGAAAAAACCCAAAUGCAAACCAGGUUAUGAUUAGGUGAGCAGCUAUAUUUCAUUUCCACAAAUGCAUCAGGGGAAUUCUAAAGAUUGGGUGGGUUUUAAGAGAAUUAUAAAGAUUGGGUGGGUUUUAAAAGUUGAAGUUGUUUAAUGGGUUCUGUUUCUGGAAGAGAAAUGGUUCAAGUUGGUCAGUGGGUUUUGUGUAGGAAAUCAAUAUCAUUAUCACCCACCAACAACAGAUUCCACCGCCCUACCUGGGAAUUCUUUGAAACACUUCAAGCUGGUAAAUUCCCACGCGGGAUUGGGCCUGAAUUUGGACCUCCCACAAAAGGGUAGGUUUGAGAUAUUCUUUGUUUGAAUGGGGAAGGAGUAAUUUUGGUGGAUUCUUAAAUAAUUACUUAUUUGAAAAGUCAGUGAAGAACUGAAGAUUGUAUUGAUUGUGAUCAGGUGAAUGCCAGCUUUGGGCCCUUUGCCGCACCAUUUUUUCUUUCUAAACUCUUAGACAGUGUUUAUUUUUUGGAGUGAGAGUGUGGAGUGUAGAUUUUUCCUACUUCAGUGUUUAUUUAUCUUUAAAAAAAGAAGAGCGGGAGUGAAAAUUUAUGGAUCUCAUCUAAUUUUGGAGUGGGGAGUGGGAUUCCCA
This 1103-nucleotide long non-coding RNA is filed under the name Citrus sinensis (sweet orange). RNAcentral's name for it is "long non-coding RNA (CSIN_LNC002117)". Lineage: Eukaryota; Viridiplantae; Streptophyta; Magnoliopsida; Sapindales; Rutaceae. The record is from RNAcentral.